GGGGGCGUUCUGGUUUCGACGGGAUGUUUGACGCGCUGGUUGCACGUAGAGGUUGAUCGGUUGGCCUCUUUAAAAAGCCGCUCAAAAAAAAUAAAUGCAGACUCUAACGAGCUCGCACUGGCCGCUUAAUUGACGACCACGUCUGAACCCCGACACCUGCUGAGGGGGAUGGCGAACACUUAGCAGGCUGGGGAAAGUGUCGGGCAUCCGGGCAUUUUUUCGAGAUCAAACAGGGUUCUAGGAUGAGCAACGCUGCAUGAGGGCCCAGCCCAUCCGAAGUUCUAGACAUCAUGCUAAACGUGUAGAUGCCAGUGUUGACGGCGUUUCGGACAGGGGUUCGACUCCCCUCGCCUCCACUC
RNAcentral lists this transfer-messenger RNA (359 nucleotides) under Akkermansiaceae. RNAcentral's name for it is "Luteolibacter sp009885905 Standard tmRNA". It matches the Rfam family "transfer-messenger RNA". From Rfam's summary of the family: Bacterial tmRNA, also known as 10Sa RNA or SsrA, is named for its dual tRNA and mRNA-like properties. RNAcentral also lists the same sequence under 1 other name. The record is from RNAcentral. Lineage: Bacteria; Pseudomonadati; Verrucomicrobiota; Verrucomicrobiia; Verrucomicrobiales.